AGUGAACGCUGGCGGUAGGCCUAACACAUGCAAGUCGAACGGCAGCACAGUAAGAGCUUGCUCUUACGGGUGGCGAGUGGCGGACGGGUGAGGAAUACAUCGGAAUCUACUUUGUCGUGGGGGAUAACGUAGGGAAACUGACGCUAAUACCGCAUACGACCUACGGGUGAAAGCAGGGGAUCUUCGGACCUUUCGCGAUUGAAUGAGCCGAUGUCGGAUUAGCUAGUUGGCGGGGUAAAGGCCCACCAAGGCGACGAUCCGUAGCUGGUCUGAGAGGAUGAUCAGCCACACUGGAACUGAGACACGGUCCAGACUCCUACGGGAGGCAGCAGUGGGGAAUAUUGGACAAUGGGCGCAAGCCUGAUCCAGCCAUACCGCGUGGGUGAAGAAGGCCUUCGGGUUGUAAAGCCCUUUUGUUGGGAAAGAACAGCAGCAGGUUAAUCCCCCGCUGUUCUGACGGUACCCAAAGAAUAAGCACCGGCUAACUUCGUG
Molecule: ribosomal RNA, 492 nt
Filed under: uncultured bacterium
Lineage: Bacteria
Description: partial 16S ribosomal RNA
Rfam family: Bacterial small subunit ribosomal RNA
Source: RNAcentral